UACGUAGGAGGCAAGCGUUGUCCGGAUUUAUUGGGCGUAAAGAGCGCGUAGGUGGCUCGGCAAGUUGGGUGUGAAAUCCCCUGGCUUAACUGGGGGGGGUCAUCCGAUACUGCUGGGCUUGAGGUCGGCAGAGGAAGGUAGAAUUCCCGGUGUAGUGGUGAAAUGCGUAGAUAUCGGGAGGAAUACCAGUGGCGAAGGCGGCCUUCUGGGCCGAUCCUGACGCUGAGGCGCGAAAGCGUGGGGAGCGAACCGG
This 253-nucleotide ribosomal RNA is filed under the name uncultured bacterium. RNAcentral describes it as "partial 16S ribosomal RNA". It matches the Rfam family "Bacterial small subunit ribosomal RNA", at positions 524 to 776 of the family's 1533-position model. The record is from RNAcentral.